UGAAGUGGAACACCUAAAGUUUUCCAUGCAUAAACAAAACAGGUGUUUGAGGAUAAAAAUUGUUUUCAAUACAAGCAUAGGAGACAAGGACGAAAUCAUAGCACUUGACGGCACACACAAUUCCAGUUUAAGACCACAGAGACAAAAACAUGAAGCAUCUGUAUAGUCUAUCAUUUCUGUUGGGAAUACUACUUCUGAAAGUACAGGCAGAAGGGUACUGUGGAGCAACUCCAAAAUGCCGAAUGGCUUGCCCUGGAAAUGACUACGAGAGGGAUGAAAAUGGUUGUGCAAUUUGCAAAUGCAAGCCAUUCGUGGAAGAAAUGAGGUCACACCCAGAGGAAGGUCACCAACUACUCUAAUGACAAAAGGGUGAAAUAUCUUCUGCAGCAUGAAAUUACUACUCCAAUUUUUCUUCCCACAAGUAUUACUUCCAACUGUAUUCUGAUUGUUUGAUCAAAAAAGUGGAGAGUGGAUGUAACUACCUUACCGGUAUGUCCUUAAUCCAAAAAUUUUUCACAGAGCUAAAAAUGGUGUCAAAAUGCUUACAAGUGUAAACACUCUUAGGAUCAUAAAUCUAAUGAUAUUUGGCCAAUGGAUUUUGGGCAUGAAAAUGUUCAACUAAAUGGUUUGAUCAUCUGAAAAUCAGACUUUACUUGUAUCAUUGGAAAAUCACCCAUUUGUGGUAAUUUAUGGAAUGGAAAUCUGAAAAGGAUGUUUUUGAAAAAAAUUUAUCGGCGCUCCAAGAAAGGUGUAUUAGUUUAUUUGUAUAAUCAUCAGUCACCAACCACGUUCGUGUACAAAGGUUCAUGUUUGUCCAAUAAUAAUAAUAAUAAUACGAGUCUUAUAUAGCGCAGUAUCCAACCAUUAACUGGCCGCUCAAAGCACUUGAUAGGCCUCUUUAAAAAGCAAAUGUUUCAGUUGUCCCUUGAAAGAUAACAGAG
Long non-coding RNA from Lineus longissimus, 941 nucleotides. RefSeq lists it as uncharacterized. Lineage: Eukaryota; Metazoa; Nemertea; Pilidiophora; Heteronemertea; Lineidae. The record is from RefSeq and is a predicted model, not a curated record. The transcript has 3 exons.